This 52-nucleotide non-coding RNA is filed under the name Trichobilharzia regenti. The record is from RNAcentral. Lineage: Eukaryota; Metazoa; Platyhelminthes; Trematoda; Strigeidida; Schistosomatidae.
AUCCAGCUGAUGGACGAGUCCCAAAUAGGACGAAAUGCGUAUUACCCUGGAU